This 196-nucleotide ribosomal RNA is filed under the name uncultured bacterium. Its description in RNAcentral is "partial 16S ribosomal RNA". It matches the Rfam family "Bacterial small subunit ribosomal RNA", at positions 1307 to 1500 of the family's 1533-position model. The record is from RNAcentral.
GAAACUCGCCUACAUGAAGCUGGAGUUACUAGUAAUCGCAGAUCAGAAUGCUGCGGUGAAUGCGUUCCCGGGUCUUGUACACACCGCCCGUCACACCACGGAAGUUGGGGGCGCCCGAAGCCACUUAGCUAACCCAUUUGGGAAGCGAGUGUCGAAGGUGAAAUCAAUAACUGGGGUGAAGUCGUAACAAGGUAUC